UUUGCUGCGAGGCAUGCACUGAAGGAAGCGAGACUACAAACUCCGGUACUGACGAACAGGAACGGUAUACUGAGGCUGGCGAAAGAGGAUAAAUGAGCACAACUUCACAAGGUCCGUAACCAACAAUCUUUUAUCAGUAGAUACCGCAGGAAUCGGAAGAAGGAAUAUGCC
This 171-nucleotide non-coding RNA is filed under the name Ohtaekwangia koreensis. The record is from RNAcentral. Lineage: Bacteria; Pseudomonadati; Bacteroidota; Cytophagia; Cytophagales; Fulvivirgaceae.